UGAGCUUGAUCCUGGCUCAGGAUGAACGCUAGCGGCAGGCUUAACACAUGCAAGUCGAGGGGUAUUAGUUUUCGGACUAAGAGACCGGCGCACGGGUGCGUAACGCGUAUGCAAUCUACCUUUUACAGAGGGAUAGCCCAGAGAAAUUUGGAUUAAUACCUCAUAGUAUAAUGACUCGGCAUCGAGAUAUUAUUAAAGUCACAACGGUAAAAGAUGAGCAUGCGUCCCAUUAGCUAGUUGGUAAGGUAACGGCUUACCAAGGCUACGAUGGGUAGGGGUCCUGAGAGGGAGAUCCCCCACACUGGUACUGAGACACGGACCAGACUCCUACGGGAGGCAGCAGUGAGGAAUAUUGGACAAUGGGCGCAAGCCUGAUCCAGCCAUGCCGCGUGCAGGAUGACGGUCCUAUGGAUUGUAAACUGCUUUUAUACGAGAAGAAACACUGCUUCGUGAAGCAGCUGACGGUAUC
Molecule: ribosomal RNA, 469 nt
Filed under: Flavobacterium sp. 01WB04.1-83
Lineage: Bacteria; Pseudomonadati; Bacteroidota; Flavobacteriia; Flavobacteriales; Flavobacteriaceae
Description: bacterial SSU rRNA
Rfam family: Bacterial small subunit ribosomal RNA
Source: RNAcentral